Molecule: non-coding RNA, 1156 nt
Organism: Oryctolagus cuniculus (rabbit)
Lineage: Eukaryota; Metazoa; Chordata; Mammalia; Lagomorpha; Leporidae
Source: RefSeq, a predicted model, not a curated record
CGGCGGCUGCGCGCGGAGGAGGUGGAGGCGGUGCCCGGCGGCCGCUUCCCACCCCCGAGCCGGAGCCGGUGCCGAGCGGAGCGGAGCCGAGGUCGGUCCGGGAGCGGAGCCGGCUGAGCGACGCCGAGCUCCCACCAUGGCCCGGAACACCCUGUCUUCGCGCUUCCGCCGGGUGGAUAUCGACGAGUUCGACGAGAACAAAUUCGUGGACGAGCAGGAGGAGGCGGCGGCGGCGGCGGGAGAGCCAGGCCCGGACCCUAGCGAGGUGGACGGGCUCCUGCGGCAAGGGGACAUGCUUCGGGCGUUCCACGCCGCCUUGCGGAACUCUCCGGUCAACACCAAGAACCAGGCUGUGAAGGAGCGAGCCCAGGGCGUGGUGCUGAAGGUGCUCACUAACUUCAAAAGCAGCGAAAUUGAGCAGGCGGUGCAGUCUCUGGACAGAAACGGCAUCGACUUGUUAAUGAAGUACAUUUAUAAAGGGUUUGAGAAGCCCACGGAAAACAGCAGUGCAGUGCUGCUUCAGUGGCAUGAAAAGGCAGGACAGGGGGCCCUUGCUGUGUGCCAUGGGUGCAGGUGACCAGGCGUGGUGUGGAGUGGCAGGGAUGCUUCCUGGCUGGCUGGCGCGUCAUGGCCUUAGCAGUAGGAGGACUAGGCUCCAUUAUUAGAGUUCUUACAGCAAGAAAGACUGUUUAAAAGUCAAAGGACUUGUUACCUCGAGAACUUUGGAUGCCCAGGCCGGUGCAGAAGGGACUGACAAUGGACCACCUUCCUAGGAGCGCCCGACUCGACUCUUCCAGGACUCGUGGCCGCUGAAGUGUAUUUUAUUUUCAAGGUGGAGGGAGAAAUCGUCUGUUUCCCAAAUCCUCUGCAGGACCUGAUCGUCUCUUUUGCCUUCGUCUACACAGUACUGCAGAACGGGCACUGGGACCGGACAGAGAGGCUGGCCAGCACUGGUCAGGUGGAGCUGUGCGUGCUGCCAGCUGAGGCUGGGGGAGGGAUGGUUUGGGCAGGUGCAGACCCAAGGGCUGUGGUGAAAGGGACAGCUUGUGGGAAAACCCGAGUUUGUACAGACCCCCGACCUCCCGGGAAGGUGGGCUCUCGGGUUCGUUGUAAAGUGCCUGCUGCAUCAAUAAAGCUCUUGGCUUCUUAGUAUACA